RNAcentral lists this long non-coding RNA (893 nucleotides) under Mustela putorius furo (domestic ferret). RNAcentral's name for it is "lncRNA (ENSMPUG00000031211.1)". Lineage: Eukaryota; Metazoa; Chordata; Mammalia; Carnivora; Mustelidae. The record is from RNAcentral.
GGAUUCUGUCGGGUUGAGGGGCUCCCCCUGACAAAAAGGAGACCACCUUUGGGUCAAACACCUCCUCCUUGCUGGUCCGAUGCAUAAACACCCUCACAUCUAUUGACCAAGAUUUCAGGACAGACCACUCAGGCAAGAGGUCAGUUGGGCACCCUAGUGGGUUCCCCAUAGGAAAGAACUGAGAUGCCUUUGAGGAAGACUGGGAAGCUUUGAUCUCCCACGCCCCCAGCUGACUGUAGCUUCCUGAGGCCCAGCUGCCAGGGGCAGCCUCAGGAUACACAGAGGGUUUUCUCCUCCUCUCUCAGGGGCUCGCCCUACCUGGUCUGGUGCCCCACCCCUUCUUCACAUGGCCAUCACCCUGGUACCAGGGCUCCAGGCCCAGAGCCACACCACCAUGAACCCCAUGCCUCUGGACAAGUGUAUUUUAUAAAGCAAGUGUCAUCCAUGUGAAGACAGAGACUUCAAAAUAAGUCACCAGUGCGCCUGUGAUCCUGCAAAUUGAUGGGCUGUUUGGAAGUGGCUUCUCCAGAGACAUGGGAUGGUUGUCUGCCACUGUCUGGGCAGAAGCUGCAAAGCUUCUUGAAAAGACUGUCCAAAAAUCCUCCAUUCCACAAGUCACCUGCCUGCUGCCUGGGAUUCUUUAUGGAAGUGUUUCGGUUGAAGGUGACUCUCGAGAGCCCACAGCAAGAGGAUCUGGAGAGAUUGUGAUGAGCUGAGCUGGAAGACAGUGGAGGUAGUAAGGAUCAAAAGAUUCUCUGAGGAAUGAGACUUAAGAAGAGAAGUCUUGCCACCUGCUUCCAGGAUGAAGUCAGGAAGGGUACUGGACAGUCAAUAGGUUCUGAAAGCUUUGGGGAAGAGCCAAGUUCAUGUGAAAAGCACUAAUAAAAAAGCUG